Ictidomys tridecemlineatus (thirteen-lined ground squirrel) is the source of this 3158-nucleotide non-coding RNA. The record is from RefSeq and is a predicted model, not a curated record. NCBI's taxonomy places the organism in Eukaryota, Metazoa, Chordata, Mammalia, Rodentia, Sciuridae.
CUGUGCGAUCCGUUUAGUGAGGCCACCCGUAAUGAAUAUGUACAUUUAGAAGACCUCAGCGCGGAGGGUCACAGGCAAUCAACCUUGAAUUCAAUUAUGCAAGUCAAGGUUAAUGACUCACCGCAGUGGUCAGAGGCAUUCAGAAUCCUGCAGAUUAAAUCAGCCUGUCAGAGCUGACAAUGUAGAAGGGACGGAAUUGCCUGUGUGAGAAACAGGGAUUCAUACGAAGAUAAAAUGGUGUCAGUCCUACGAAGAUUACAUGGCGUUCUCUGUGGCAAAUCAGAUUGUAAAUCUCCUCUGGACCUGCAAUGUGACUAGUCUACAUUAAGACGUUUCUAGAUUGUAAUAUGGAGCCACUAAGACCUGGUGAACCCCUCCCUCAGUAGUUGUUCACGUAUUGGACAUCUUCUGAGUGCAAACCAGUAUGUACACAUUUAAUGCACAAGAGCACAAGUGGAGGGAUGUGAUGGGAGCAGAAGAUCCAGUGAGAAGAUCUGGUCAUCCACUGUCCAACAUGGGGAGAAAGUCACUGAGCUGCUAAUGCUGGGGAAUGGGAGGGAGAGGGUCAGAAAGAAGGACAAGAGAGAGUUGUACUGGGACAGAAACCUGUGUGACAGCACCUUGAAUCCUGGCCCAUGCUGAGUGGGUGACCUCUGGGGGCCAUCCAGGUCCAGGGGUUCACCGCCAGGUACUGCAGACCAACACUCACCCCACAGCAGAGUUCCAUGAGGCGCUUUCCCUCUCAACCAUCUGAACUCACACUUCACAGUUCCUUCACGUCCAUCUGUCUCUGAUCACCUUUCCCAAAUGAAUUUCCAGCCUCCUACCUGGACAUUCCAUGGCCCAUCAGGUGAAAUAGUCAUUAUUCAAAUCUAAGUUGUGCGCCCUGCUCUCAACUCAGGGAGAAAGAAGCAAACUAUGGGAACUGAGGGUCUGGUGGGAAGUCAGGGAUGAGACAAGUAACUAUUGGGACUAGAUAAUGAUGAGAACAAGAAACUACAACAGGGAGAUGUGACAGAGACUGAGGGGUUGGGGACAAUAAGGGGUGAUUUGGAAGGCAUUUCUGGGGGCCAGUGCUUGAUUUCAGAUCUGAAUGCCUAGGAGAAGCCAGCCAUAUAAUGACCAGGAAAGAGCAUCUAAGGAAGACGGGGGUAGCAGGUGCAACAGCCCCAAGGCAAAAGAGGGCUUGUUGUAUGGGAGGAAAAGGGAGAGGGCCUAGGUAGAGAAAUAGAGGGUACGAUGUCGAUACCAUCCACAGGGUACUUGUGGGCCAUGGUGAGACUUUCAAGUUUAAGUGUAAUUGGAAGAUUUUGCCACUUGCCUUCUAAGCAGAAGAGUGGCAAAUUCUGACUGAUUUCUUAAGUUGGUCACAUUGGGUGGUGAAGGGAACUGCAGGGGACAAGAAUGGAGGCAAGGAUUCUGGACAGGGCUGUUGAGUCAUGUCUCUGAGGAGAAAUGAUGAUGGCUUGGAGUGAGUGGUGACCGUGGAGUCCAGCAGUGACUGGAAAUGGGAUAGAUAUUGCAAGAAGAGAGGAGAGAGCUGGAUGACAGAUUGUGAGAGAGACAGAGAGGUCAAGAUGACAUCAAAGUUCUAAGACCUGGUUUGGACCAUGUACUGGUGAGGAAGCCUGGCAGGUCUGCCUUGAGUGGUGAUUGGAAUUGGUGGGAUGCUAAUCAGGCAAUGGUAGCUUAGCAAAGAAAUCAGGGCUGCAGGUGUACAUCUGGGAAUCAUGGGUUUAGAGAUGGCGUUUAGCCAUGCAGGGGUAUUGGCGGGCUGGGCCUUGGGCUUUGGAUUACUUAGAUGUUGGGAAGGGGAGAGAGGGACAAAGCAGUUGGCUAAGAAAGAGUGGGCAGCAAGGUUGGAGGGAAAUCAGGAGAAUGCGCUGUGAAGGCAUUUCAGGAAAGAGGGGGUGAUCUACUCUAUCAACGUGGCUGACAGGUUAGAUUACAUGAAGACCCGUCCCUACUUAACAAUAUGGAGGGAGAAUUUUUGCUAGCUGUUCAAAAUGCAGCUCAGACUGAGACAGUCCAAGAGGGAAUUGGAAGACAGGCCACUGGCUACCCAACAUGGAAGAAGAAAACAAAGGAAUGGAGAAGAGCUCGAGUGUGGGGGGUCUGGGACCCCAAGACGCCUUCCUCUCCCCUCUUCCUUGUCUCCUUCCUUCCUUCCAAGGUGGAGAUAUUACUGCAUGCUGGUGUGCCAGGGGCCACCCUCCAGAAGAAAGGAACAAAUCUGAAGCCAUAGGAAGGAAGGGAGGGUUCUUGAGGACACUGGGUGCAGUGAAACAGAUUUUAGGCAGAGCAAUCUCACAGUCUCCCCAGCUUCGCACUGACCAACGCUAUUGUGCAUACAGAAUUACUGUGACCUAAGUGACUGAGGCUGUAACUAGAGUUAUCUAACCAACCAUGAAACCUGGAGAGAGAGAGCUGUGAUCCCAUCCAGCAACUGUAAAGCACCCUGUAAAUAAUCCAUGAGCCUAGAGACUGGCAGGGCAAAAAUAAUUGUCAAACAUGACCUCUCCGGUGUCUACACCACUUCCAAGCGGUCUUUGCACCAUCCUGCUCUUCUGUAGCCACAGUCAGUAGUUUCCAGGAAAGCGGGGGCUCAGGUGGAUGCCGAGCAGCCCAGGACACCGGAAACCAACACUCCUGGGACAAGGGAAGGUGGAGAAAAGGGCAUGGAUUUUAAAAGAAAAAUGUUUUUGUGAAGAAAAAUGUUUUAAUAAUCAAUUGGUUAUCUAGAUUAAACAAGUUAGCCAAAUAGUUAAGUGUUCAAUUUUCAAAUUUUAGAUUGCUUUUAAAGAAAAGAGUUGUUUUCUAGUGAGAGUGCAAUGAUAAUAUGUAAUUUUUGAGGACUUUUUGCCCUGUCACAAGAAUCUUGUGACAUCACAUUUGCUCCUCAUAGCAGUAUAUUUACUAUAUCACCUCCAUUGUUUUGGAGGGGGGAACUGAGGCUCAGAGAUAGGAAAUGACUUUCCCUAGGUCACAGAACUCAGAAAUGAUAGAACUAGGAUCCAGACUCCGCAAGUCUGGUUCCAAUGUCUGCCUCUAACCACUAGGUUAUGAUUUUGGGUUGUCUGCUCCAUGGAGGACCCGUUCAAGAAUGAAUGGAACCACCAACAUGAAACUUGUGCCCAAUUUUCUCCUUUUAAUUAUGC